GUAAUGUAUUUUUUAUUCUCAAUAUUUUUAAAGGCUACUAAUUAUACAUACAAUUCAUCGUUCAUCUAAUUCAAUUAUGUAAUAAUAUGUGAACAUCCAAUUACUUAAAAAAUUAGACACAAUGAUAAGUAUAUUUGUGUCAUACUUGUAUAUUUUCUAAUGAUAAAAAAUUAGGGAAAACAAAUCUAGUACUAUAUCUUCAAGUUGCCUUCAACACUGCACCAAAAAUUCUUGAUCUUCAUGGCCUGCACCAAACAUUCUUUAUCUUCACAGCCUGCAUAUGAAUUUAGAACAAAAAUAUAAUUGUGUUUUGCUCUUAGAAAAAAUAUUAACCACCAUUAAAUAUAUAUCUAGUACUACGAUUACAAGAAUAAUAUGCUAAAAAAAAGUAAAAGAAAAUUAAAAAGAAAAAACUCAAUGAUAUAUUCUGAGAAACUAGUGUAACUAAAAAAUCACAAAACAAAAAGUUUAGAAUUUUAAAAAGAUAGCAAGAGAAAAAUAAAUAAGCAAUAAUAAUAAUAAUAAUAAUAAUAAUAAUAAUAAUAAUAAUAAUAAUUUGAAAAACACAAACCUCUGUUUUUGGUGAGGUUACAAAACUGGGUCAGUGUGCGGUUGGCCAAAACCUAGAGGUGCAGCCGUGUAGGAGUUGGGUCUUCUUCAAUUGGGAGGCAUUAUUUUAUCAUCUCAAAUCCAACAAAAAAA
RNAcentral lists this long non-coding RNA (702 nucleotides) under Citrus maxima (pomelo). Its description in RNAcentral is "long non-coding RNA (CMAX_LNC004055)". Lineage: Eukaryota; Viridiplantae; Streptophyta; Magnoliopsida; Sapindales; Rutaceae. The record is from RNAcentral.